RNAcentral lists this ribosomal RNA (481 nucleotides) under uncultured bacterium. RNAcentral's name for it is "partial 16S ribosomal RNA". It matches the Rfam family "Bacterial small subunit ribosomal RNA", at positions 28 to 506 of the family's 1533-position model. The record is from RNAcentral.
GACGAACGCUGGCGGCGUGCUUAACACAUGCAAGUCGGACGCUGAAGCUCAGCUUGCUGGGUGGAUGAGUGGCGAACGGGUGAGUAACACGUGAGUAAACUGCCCUCUUCUUUGGGAUAACGCCUGAAAACGGGUGCUAAUUAUGGAUAUUCACUGACUCACGCAAGGGUGAUGGUGGAAAGGUUUUUUCUGGUGGGGGAUGGGUUCGCGGCCUAUCAGCUUGCUGGUCGGGUGGUGGCCUUCCCAGGCUUGGACGGGUAGUCGGCCAGAGUGGGUGACCGGUCACAUAGGGACUGCGGUACGGCCCAGACUGCUACGGGAGGCAGAAGUGGGGAAGAUGGAGCAAUGGGCGAAAGCCUAAUGCAGCGGCGACGCUGGUGGAAUGGUGGCCUGUGGGUUGUAAACCUCUUUCGCUCAUGGUCAAGCCGCAGCUUUGGGUUGUGGGGCGGGAAGUGGGUAAAGAAGCGCCGGCUAACUACGU